CAACCCUCAAGCACUGCUUGGUAUUGGAUGGCCACCGUUGUGGUGUUACCUUAAAAGUAUUGGCAGCAGCAAUCAGCUUCUUGUGUAGUAAAUUUCUUAUUAAGGAGUUGGUUGUGAAAGCCAAAACCCUCAAGUUAUGAAA
This 142-nucleotide unclassified non-coding RNA is filed under the name uncultured Leotiomycetes. RNAcentral describes it as "sequence contains ITS2". Lineage: Eukaryota; Fungi; Ascomycota; Leotiomycetes. The record is from RNAcentral.